AAGUCGUAACAAGGUUUCCGUAGGUGAACCUGCGGAAGGAUCAUUAACACGUAUCCAACGUUAAACAACCCUGUGAACUUUCAGCGCUCUUGUAACCAGGCGGAACAGCAAUCGGGACCUCUGUCCAAAAGGUUACAAUCGAGUUGAGCAGUGGCAUGGUUUCCCUAAGCAGUGCAGAAGGAUCCACUGAGUAAGGAUAACUCAUCAAAGGUUGCUAGAGGUCGAUCACCGGCCGGCAGACAUGUCACAGGGCUAUACGCCCCUUCAUUCACCCCUUGCCCUCUCCUGCCCGCCGGAAACGUCGGGCACAAAAACUGAACAACUGUUAACAAUGGAUAUCUUGGUUCUC
This 349-nucleotide unclassified non-coding RNA is filed under the name fungal sp. Its description in RNAcentral is "partial internal transcribed spacer region". The stretch from base 1 to 46 matches the Rfam family "Eukaryotic small subunit ribosomal RNA", at positions 1786 to 1831 of the family's 1831-position model. The record is from RNAcentral. Lineage: Eukaryota; Fungi.